Non-coding RNA from Podarcis lilfordi (Lilford's wall lizard), 75 nucleotides. The record is from the annotation of a GenBank genome assembly. Lineage: Eukaryota; Metazoa; Chordata; Lepidosauria; Squamata; Lacertidae.
GGAAGGGCCAUAGCUGAGUGGUAGUGCAGCUGCUUGGCAUGCAGAAGGUCCCAGGUUCAAUCUCUGCCGUUUCUA